UCGGGAAUUUUGGGCAAUGGGCGAAAGCCUGACCCAGCAACGCCGCGUGAAGGAUGAAGUAUUUCGGUAUGUAAACUUCGAAAGAAUAGGAAGAAUAAAUGACGGUACUAUUUAUAAGGUCCGGCUAACUACGUGCCAGCAGCCGCGGUAAUACGAAGGGGGCUAGCGUUGUUCGGAAUCACUGGGCGUAAAGCGCACGUAGGCGGAUGUGCCAGUCAGGGGUGAAAUCCCGGAGCUCAACUCCGGAACUGCCUCUGAUACUGCACGUCUUGAGUUCGAGAGAGGUGGGUGGAAUUCCUAGUGUAGAGGUGAAAUUCGUAGAUAUUAGGAAGAACACCAGUGGCGAAGGCGGCCCACUGGCUCGAUACUGACGCUGAGGUGCGAAAGCGUGGGGAGCAAACAGGAUUAGAUACCCCGGUAGUCCCUGAGCGGGCUGGCAAGGCGCAU
Molecule: ribosomal RNA, 447 nt
Filed under: uncultured bacterium
Lineage: Bacteria
Description: bacterial SSU rRNA
Rfam family: Bacterial small subunit ribosomal RNA
Source: RNAcentral